GUCGAGGGGAGCAUUUCAGUUUGCUUGCAACUGGAGAUGGCGACCGGCGCACGGGUGAGUAACACGUAUCCAACCUGCCGAUAACUCGGGGAUAGCCUUUCGAAAGAAAGAUUAAUACCCGAUGGUAUAAUUAGACCGCAUGGUCUUGUUAUUAAAGAAUUUCGGUUAUCGAUGGGGAUGCGUUCCAUUAGGCAGUUGGUGAGGUAACGGCUCACCAAACCUUCGAUGGAUAGGGGUUCUGAGAGGAAGGUCCCCCACAUUGGAACUGAGACACGGUCCAAACUCCUACGGGAGGCAGCAGUGAGGAAUAUUGGUCAAUGGGCGCAGGCCUGAACCAGCCAAGUAGCGUGAAGGAUGACUGCCCUAUGGGUUGUAAACUUCUUUUAUAUGGGAAUAAAGUUUUCCACGUGUGGAAUUUUGUAUGUACCAUAUGAAUAAGGAUCGGCUAACUCCGUGCCAGCAGCCGCGGUAAUACGGAGGAUCCGAGCGUUAUCCGGAUUUAUUGGGUUUAAAGGGAGCGUAGGUGGACAGUUAAGUCAGUUGUGAAAGUUUGCGGCUCACCC
RNAcentral lists this ribosomal RNA (563 nucleotides) under Bacteroides sp. HGA0075. RNAcentral describes it as "bacterial SSU rRNA". It matches the Rfam family "Bacterial small subunit ribosomal RNA", at positions 61 to 614 of the family's 1533-position model. Lineage: Bacteria; Pseudomonadati; Bacteroidota; Bacteroidia; Bacteroidales; Bacteroidaceae. The record is from RNAcentral.